Molecule: ribosomal RNA, 434 nt
Filed under: uncultured Lachnospiraceae bacterium
Lineage: Bacteria; Bacillati; Bacillota; Clostridia; Lachnospirales; Lachnospiraceae
Description: partial 16S ribosomal RNA
Rfam family: Bacterial small subunit ribosomal RNA
Source: RNAcentral
ACGGGAGGCAGCAGUGGGGGAUAUUGCACAAUGGGGGAAACCCUGAUGCAGCGACGCCGCGUGAGUGAUGAAGUAUUUCGGUAUGUAAAGCUCUAUCAGCAGGGAAGAAAAUGACGGUACCUGACUAAGAAGCUCCGGCUAAAUACGUGCCAGCAGCCGCGGUAAUGCGUAUGGAGCAAGCGUUAUCCGGAUUUACUGGGUGUAAAGGGAGCGUAGACGGUUAUGCAAGUCUGAAGUGAAAGGUGGGGGCUCAACUCCCAAACUGCUUUGGAAACUGUGUAACUAGAGUGUCGGAGAGGUAAGUGGAAUUCCUAGUGUAGCGGUGAAAUGCGUAGAUAUUAGGAGGAACACCAGUGGCGAAGGCGGCUUACUGGACGAUAACUGACGUUGAGGCUCGAAAGCGUGGGGAGCAAACAGGAUUAGAUACCCUGGUA